RNAcentral lists this long non-coding RNA (242 nucleotides) under Manihot esculenta (cassava). RNAcentral describes it as "long non-coding RNA (MESC_LNC008446)". Lineage: Eukaryota; Viridiplantae; Streptophyta; Magnoliopsida; Malpighiales; Euphorbiaceae. The record is from RNAcentral.
GCAAAACCAAAAAAAAAAAAUUGAAAAUGGCGGCAACGGAUUCCAGAAGGUCUUCAAGCGGACCGGUCAUCCGAUCCCUUUCUCCGUCCGGCAGAUUCCACCUUCCUCGCUCUCCUUGUUCAAAUGCUUUCGCUUCUUCCACCUCCAGCUUCGCCUCUCGCUCUUCCACUUUAUUUUCUAGCCACCACCAAAACCACAGAUCUGCAUCCCCCACUCGUGUUAACUUGUACGGGAGCACUCCG